ACAGUACAAACUGAGCAGGCGAUGAACCUUUUAGGUCAUGGGGCCGGGCUGCUGAGGCGGCAACAGAUGUUAACUUAGCAUCUGUGGGACAGU
RNAcentral lists this non-coding RNA (93 nucleotides) under Dielma fastidiosa. Its description in RNAcentral is "NiCo riboswitch". It matches the Rfam family "NiCo (Nickel/Cobalt) riboswitch aptamer". Lineage: Bacteria; Bacillati; Bacillota; Erysipelotrichia; Erysipelotrichales; Erysipelotrichaceae. The record is from RNAcentral.